AGAACGCAGUGAAAUGCGCUAAGUAAUGUGAAUUGCAGAAUUCAGUGAAUCAUCGAAUCUUUGAACGCACCUUGCGCUCCUUGGUAUUCCUUGGAGCAUGCCUGUUUGAGUAUCAUGAAAUCUUCAAAGUAAAUCUUUUGUUAACUCAAUUGGUUUCUACUUUGGUAUUGGAGGUCUUUGCAGCUUCACACCUGCUCCUCUUUGUUCAUUAGCUGGAUCUCAGUGUUAUGCUUGGUUCCACUCGGCGUGAUAAGUUAUCUAUCGCUGAGGACACUGUAAAAGGUGGCCAAGGUAAAUGCAGAUGAACCGCUUCUAAUAGUCCAUUGACUUGGACAAUACUUUUAUGAUCUGAUCUCAAAUCAGGUAGGACUACCCGCUGAACUUAAGC
RNAcentral lists this unclassified non-coding RNA (388 nucleotides) under plant metagenome. RNAcentral's name for it is "partial contains 5.8S ribosomal RNA, internal transcribed spacer 2, and large subunit ribosomal RNA". The stretch from base 1 to 115 matches the Rfam family "5.8S ribosomal RNA", at positions 40 to 154 of the family's 154-position model. The record is from RNAcentral.